GGUCCCGUGGCUUAGCCAGGAUAUAGCAUCGGGCUUCUAACCCGAGGGCCGGGGGUUCAAAUCCCUCCGGGAUCG
This 75-nucleotide transfer RNA is filed under the name Methanolobus zinderi. It matches the Rfam family "tRNA". From Rfam's summary of the family: Transfer RNA (tRNA) molecules are approximately 80 nucleotides in length. Their secondary structure includes four short double-helical elements and three loops (D, anti-codon, and T loops). The record is from Rfam by way of RNAcentral. Lineage: Archaea; Methanobacteriati; Methanobacteriota; Methanomicrobia; Methanosarcinales; Methanosarcinaceae.